Acanthosepion pharaonis is the source of this 110-nucleotide non-coding RNA. The record is from the annotation of a GenBank genome assembly. Lineage: Eukaryota; Metazoa; Mollusca; Cephalopoda; Sepiida; Sepiidae.
UGGCCAUUUUAUGUUGAAAUACUGGUUCUUGUAUGAUCACCAAAGUUAGGCAUCAUCAAGCCUGGUUAGUACUUAGUUGGGUGACCACUUGGGAAUACCAGGAACUGUAA